This 492-nucleotide ribosomal RNA is filed under the name uncultured bacterium. RNAcentral describes it as "partial 16S ribosomal RNA". It matches the Rfam family "Bacterial small subunit ribosomal RNA", at positions 29 to 507 of the family's 1533-position model. The record is from RNAcentral.
AGUGAACGCUGGCGGUAUGCCUAACACAUGCAAGUCGAACGGCAGCACAGUAAGAUCUUUCUCUUACGGUUGGCGAGUGGCGGACGAGUGAGGAAUACAUCGCAAUCUACUUUUUCUUGGGUGACUACGUAAGGACACUUACGCUAAUACCUCAUAUAACCUACGGGUUAAAUCAGUAGUGCUUCGGACCUUUCGCGAUUCUAUGAGCCGAUGUCGGAUUAGCUAGUUGGCUGGGUAAGGGCCCACCAAGGCAACGAUCCGUAGCUGAGCUGAGAGGAUGAUCAGCCACACUGGAACUGAGACACGGUCCAGACUCCUACGGGAGGCAGCAGUGGGGAAUAUUGGACAAAGGGCGAAAGCCUGAUCCAGCAACACCGCGUGGGUGAAGAAGGUCUUCGGGUUGUAAAGCUCUUUUGUUGGGAAAGAAAAAAAGCAGGUUAAUCCACGGAUGUUCUGACGGUACCCAAAGAAUAAGCAACGGCUAACUUCGUG